This 427-nucleotide ribosomal RNA is filed under the name uncultured bacterium. Its description in RNAcentral is "bacterial SSU rRNA". It matches the Rfam family "Bacterial small subunit ribosomal RNA", at positions 355 to 774 of the family's 1533-position model. The record is from RNAcentral.
UAGGGAAUAUUGGACAAUGGGGGCGACCCUGAUCCAGCCAUGCCGCGUGAGUGAAGAAGGCCCUCGGGUUGUAAAGCUCUUUUGUCCGGAAAGAAAAGCAUUCGGUGAAUACCCGGAUGUUCUGACGGUACCGGAAGAAUAAGCACCGGCUAACUUCGUGCCAGCAGCCGCGGUAAUACGAAGGGUGCAAGCGUUACUCGGAAUUACUGGGCGUAAAGCGUGCGUAGGUGGUUGUUUAAGGCUGAUGUGAGAGCCCUGGGCUCAACCUGGGAAUGGCAUUGGAAGCUGGGCAGCUAGAGUGCGGUAGAGGGUAGUGGAAUUCCCGCUGUAGCAGUGAAAUGCGUAGAGAUCGGGAGGAACAUCUGUGGCGAAGGCGACUGCCAGGACCAGCACUGACACUGAGGCACGAAAGCGUGGGGAGCAAACA